GACGAACCGUGCGAACGUUGUUCGGAUUCACUGGGCUUAAAGGGCGCGUAGGCGGCUUGCCAAGUCAGGGGUGAAAUCUUUCGGCUCAACCGGAAAAGUGCUUCUGAUACUGGCGAGCUGGAGGGAGGUAGGGGCAGAUGGAACUUCCGGUGGAGCGGUGAAAUGCGUAGAUAUCGGAAGGAACGCCGGUGGCGAAAGCGAUCUGCUGGACCUCUUCUGACGCUGAGGCGCGAAAGCCAGGGGAGCAAACGG
RNAcentral lists this ribosomal RNA (252 nucleotides) under uncultured bacterium. RNAcentral describes it as "partial 16S ribosomal RNA". It matches the Rfam family "Bacterial small subunit ribosomal RNA", at positions 524 to 775 of the family's 1533-position model. The record is from RNAcentral.